GUAUGGGAUAAAGUGGGUGUAUAUUGACAGUACUAAAUGUAAUAUGUUACAUUUAAAAAUGCAGAAAUACCAUAGUUCAAGCAGCAACAACAUAUAAUAUGUAUAAACAUUUUCUACAGUUAAUGACGAUGAAUUAUAAUACUACAGAUCUAUAGAUUAUAAAACAUGCCAAUUUUUGUUUUACCGUGGUUUGUUCCUGCUUGGUACACUAGCUGGCCAUGUAUGGUAAACAUUAUACACUCCGGCACUAUCCUGAGAAACUGAGUAAAUAGGGUAAUAUGGAUAAUAACCAUAGCAAUAAUUCUGUUCUGUAGGUGAUGUUACAGUUGGGGAAGAAGAACCAGCCUCUGGUAUCCCACUCACACAUGAAACACUACUCCGUCCUGGGUGCAUAGUGGAAGAUGACUAGAUUUGUACACUUUCUAAUCGAAUAAGAACUAAAAUUUAUCCACUAUCAAGUUCUAUACUGGGAUGAGUGACAAUUAUCAAAUAUUGUCCAACUUGUUAAAUCGACUACACAUGGCAGAGUUAAUCUAGGUCGUUGAAAUGAAAAUGACAUGAUAUUACACCACAUACGAAAACGUCACUAACCUUGGCAGAGAGAUAAUCUAAAACAAAUCAUUCAAUGUGACAUUUCCACAGAGUCAAAGUGUUAUUCCAAAAGUGUCAACAUAUAUAAUCCUGGAACAGCUGAUUAAAAUCCCUUAAUUAUCUCAUUCCUAUAUAUUUCUGCAGUAUAAAUAACAAACAAACAUGUUUAUUUCUGCUCCAGUUGUUUACAAGUGGUCAGACAGUUUUUCUUCACCUGACUGAUAAACAUACUGUACACACCUUUAGGAUACAUAUGAACUUCUUGAAAUGAAAUUCGGUCUAGGUUAUUAAAUGUCAAUGCUCCAUUGGAGUUAAAAUUAC
RNAcentral lists this long non-coding RNA (912 nucleotides) under Mytilus galloprovincialis (Mediterranean mussel). Lineage: Eukaryota; Metazoa; Mollusca; Bivalvia; Mytilida; Mytilidae. The record is from RNAcentral.